This 510-nucleotide ribosomal RNA is filed under the name uncultured bacterium. RNAcentral describes it as "partial 16S ribosomal RNA". It matches the Rfam family "Bacterial small subunit ribosomal RNA", at positions 28 to 507 of the family's 1533-position model. The record is from RNAcentral.
GACGAACGCUGGCGGCGUGCUUAACACAUGCAAGUCGAACGAAGAGCGAUGGACGCUUGCUUCUAUCAAUCUUAGUGGCGAACGGGUGAGUAACGCGUAAUCAACCUGCCCUUCAGAGGGGGACAACAGUUGGAAACGACUGCUAAUACCGCAUACGAUCUAAUCUCGGCAUCGAGGAUAGAUGAAAGGUGGCCUCUACAUGUAAGCUAUCACUGAAGGAGGGGAUUGCGUCUGAUUAGCUAGUUGGAGGGGUAACGGCCCACCAAGGCGAUGAUCAGUAGCCGGUCUGAGAGGAUGAACGGCCACAUUGGGACUGAGACACGGCCCAGACUCCUACGGGAGGCAGCAGUGGGGAAUCUUCCGCAAUGGACGAAAGUCUGACGGAGCAACGCCGCGUGAGUGAUGACGGCCUUCGGGUUGUAAAGCUCUGUUAAUCGGGACGAAAGGCCUUCUUGCGAAUAGUGAGAAGGAUUGACGGUACCAGAAUAGAAAGCCACGGCUAACUACGUG